GCCAGGCGUGGUGGCUCACGCCUGUAAUCCCAGCACCUUGGGAGGCUGAGGUGGGUGGAUCACCUGAGGUCAGGAGUUCGAGACCAGCCUGGCCAACAUGGUGAAACCCCGUCUCUA
RNAcentral lists this signal recognition particle RNA (117 nucleotides) under Chlorocebus sabaeus (green monkey). Its description in RNAcentral is "Metazoan signal recognition particle RNA". It matches the Rfam family "Metazoan signal recognition particle RNA". From Rfam's summary of the family: The signal recognition particle (SRP) is a universally conserved ribonucleoprotein. It is involved in the co-translational targeting of proteins to membranes. The record is from Rfam by way of RNAcentral. Lineage: Eukaryota; Metazoa; Chordata; Mammalia; Primates; Cercopithecidae.